UCCUACGGGGCGCAGCAGUGAGGAAUAUUGGUCAGUGGUCGGGAGACUGAACCAGCCAAGCCGCGUGAGGGAUGAAGGUACAGAGUAUCGUAAACCUCUUUUGUCAGGGAACAAAGGCGGGGACGCGUCCCCGGAUGAGUGUACCUGAAGAAAAAGCAUCGGCUAACUCCGUGCCAGCAGCCGCGGUAAUACGGAGGAUGCGAGCGUUAUCCGGAUUUAUUGGGUUUAAAGGGUGCGCAGGCGGUCUGUUAAGUCAGCGGUCAAAGCCCGGGGCUCAACCCCGGCCCGCCGUUGAAACUGGCAGG
RNAcentral lists this ribosomal RNA (305 nucleotides) under uncultured bacterium. RNAcentral's name for it is "bacterial SSU rRNA". It matches the Rfam family "Bacterial small subunit ribosomal RNA", at positions 337 to 640 of the family's 1533-position model. The record is from RNAcentral.